RNAcentral lists this long non-coding RNA (224 nucleotides) under Elaeis guineensis (African oil palm). RNAcentral describes it as "long non-coding RNA (EGUI_LNC065976)". The record is from RNAcentral. Lineage: Eukaryota; Viridiplantae; Streptophyta; Magnoliopsida; Arecales; Arecaceae.
GCCACUCCAAAAAAACUGCACUCCUAAUAAAUCUGAUCGAAAUUGCAAAUUGCACAACCACUCUUCAAGCCUAUAACUCUAAUAGCAUGUAGAGCUACAAAUAUAUGGGUCACCAAUCUUAAGACCUUAGCUCUGAUAUCAUGUAGAAUGGCAAAUAUCAAAACCUUUGCUCUGAUACAUGUAGAAUAGCACAUUACGCAGAGUAAAUCAAUCAUGCUGGCCCA